Colletes gigas is the source of this 262-nucleotide long non-coding RNA. RefSeq lists it as uncharacterized. NCBI's taxonomy places the organism in Eukaryota, Metazoa, Arthropoda, Insecta, Hymenoptera, Colletidae. The record is from RefSeq and is a predicted model, not a curated record. The transcript has 3 exons.
AACAUAUCAAGACGUGUCGAGACGUAUCGGCGUUUCGCGACCGAGUUUUUUAUUGGAACUCGAAAUUAAGAAAUAAUAAGACUUGUUGGAACCUGCCAUGACGUGUCAGCGUUUCGCGACCAACGAGUCUCGGAUUGAAAAUCGACGCCAUGGAAAGUUUCAUUGGCGCGUAAACGACACCAUAACAGAUGACAAACGAGUCGACAAAUUUUGGAGGGAAUAUUGGUAACGUUUAAACAAUUACAACAAAAAUUAACACCCA